RNAcentral lists this ribosomal RNA (503 nucleotides) under uncultured bacterium. RNAcentral's name for it is "partial 16S ribosomal RNA". It matches the Rfam family "Bacterial small subunit ribosomal RNA", at positions 30 to 523 of the family's 1533-position model. The record is from RNAcentral.
AUUGAACGCUGGCGGCAGGCUUAACACAUGCAAGUCGAGCGGAGUGAUGGUGCUUGCACUAUCACUUAGCGGCGGACGGGUGAGUAAUGCUUAGGAAUCUGCCUAUUAGUGGGGGACAACAUCUCGAAAGGGAUGCUAAUACCGCAUACGUCCUACGGGAGAAAGCAGGGGAUCACUUGUGACCUUGCGCUAAUAGAUGAGCCUAAGUCGGAUUAGCUAGUUGGUGGGGUAAAGGCCUACCAAGGCGACGAUCUGUAGCGGGUCUGAGAGGAUGAUCCGCCACACUGGGACUGAGACACGGCACAGACUCCUACGGGAGGCAGCAGUGGGGAAUAUUGGACAAUGGGGGGAACCCUGAUCCAGCCAUGCCGCGUGUGUGAAGAAGGCCUUAUGGUUGUAAAGCACUUUAAGCGAGGAGGAGGCUACUGAGACUAAUACUCUUGGAUAGUGGACGUUACUCGCAGAAUAAGCACCGGCUAACUCUGUGCCAGCCGCCGCAGUAA